ACUUAAGAAGCUUAGGUUUUGAGCGUUACAUUGAAGCUGUAAAGGUGGCAGGUUUGUCCUUAGGUG
Molecule: transfer RNA, 66 nt
Filed under: Macrobrachium equidens
Lineage: Eukaryota; Metazoa; Arthropoda; Malacostraca; Decapoda; Palaemonidae
Also listed under: 1 other name
Description: tRNA-Phe
Source: RNAcentral